CAGUCGCCGCGGGAAUACGUAGGGUGCGAGCGUUAAUCGGAAUUACUGGGCGUAAAGCGUGCGCAGGCGGUUGUGUAAGACAGGUGUGAAAUCCCCGGGCUUAACCUGGGAACUGCGCUUGUGACUGCACGGCUAGAGUAUGGCAGAGGGGGGUGGAAUUCCACGUGUAGCAGUGAAAUGCGUAGAGAUGUGGAGGAACACCGAUGGCGAAGGCAGCCCCCUGGGCCAAUACUGACGCUCAUGCACGAAAGCGUGGGGAGCAAACAGGAUUAGAUACCCCUGUAGUCCCUGUCUCUUAUAC
RNAcentral lists this ribosomal RNA (301 nucleotides) under uncultured bacterium. Its description in RNAcentral is "partial 16S ribosomal RNA". It matches the Rfam family "Bacterial small subunit ribosomal RNA", at positions 509 to 807 of the family's 1533-position model. The record is from RNAcentral.